Molecule: ribosomal RNA, 497 nt
Filed under: Clostridiales bacterium
Lineage: Bacteria; Bacillati; Bacillota; Clostridia; Eubacteriales
Description: partial 23S ribosomal RNA
Rfam family: Bacterial large subunit ribosomal RNA
Source: RNAcentral
UGGGAAUGCCAUCGCUCAACGGAUAAAAGCUACCCUGGGGAUAACAGGCUGAUCUCCCCCAAGAGUUCACAUCGACGGGGAGGUUUGGCACCUCGAUGUCGGCUCAUCGCAUCCUGGAGCUGAAGAAGGUUCCAAGGGUUGGGCUGUUCGCCCAUUAAAGCGGUACGCGAGCUGGGUUCAGAACGUCGUGAGACAGUUCGGUCCCUAUCCGUCAUGGGCGCAGGAAAUUUGAGAGGAGCUGUCCUUAGUACGAGAGGACCGGGAUGGACGAAUCAAUGGUGUAUCUGUUGCAUACCAAAUGCAUGGCAGAGUAGCCAAAUUCGGAACGGAUAAACGCUGAAGGCAUCUAAGCGUGAAGCCGCCCUCAAGAUUAGAUUUCCCAGACUUCCUUCGGGAAGGAGUAAGGCCCCUUGAAGACGACGAGGUAGAUAGGCGGGAGGUGUAAGCACUGCAAGGUGUUGAGCUGACCCGUACUAAUAGGCCGAGGGCUUGACUUU